This 269-nucleotide long non-coding RNA is filed under the name Mytilus galloprovincialis (Mediterranean mussel). Lineage: Eukaryota; Metazoa; Mollusca; Bivalvia; Mytilida; Mytilidae. The record is from RNAcentral.
UUGUCGUUGGAUCAUGUCUGUCACAUACGUUUUUCAUAAACUGAAUUGUUAUAAAUUAUGCCGUUAGUUUUCAUGUUAGUUUUACAUUUUUUCAUGUCGGGGCCUUCUUUAGCUGACUUUACGCUAAAGGCUCUUCUCAUUAUUUGGCUGAUUCCUGCUCCUAAGGGGUUUUCAAUAACUCCAUAGUAUCUAUUCAUUUUUGCACAUAAACUAAAGUUUAUAAUAGCUAAUAAUGCAUAAAAAUCAUUAAAAUACAGAAUGCUAUUUUA